GAUAUGUUCUUGAAACUCAAAGAAUUUGGCGGUGUUUUAGUCCUUUCAGAGGAACCUGUCCCGUGAUCGAUAGUCCACGUUUUACCUAACUUAAUUUAGCUUUCAGCUUGUAUACCGCCGUCGUCAGAAUGUCCUUAGAGGGAAUAAAUUUUCUUAAUUUUUAAUUAAAUUUAAUGUCAGGUCAAGGUGCAGUUUAUAAUUAAGUGGAGAUGGGUUACAAUAAAUUUAUUUAUACGGAUAUUAAAUGGAAGUAUUUAUUUGAAGGUGGAUUUGAUUGUAUAAUUAUUUAAUUAAAAUAAUUUGAUUUUGGCUCUAAAACAUGCACACAUCGCCCGUCGCUCUUA
This 344-nucleotide ribosomal RNA is filed under the name Leptoperla sp. BYU_PL107. RNAcentral's name for it is "partial 12S ribosomal RNA". It matches the Rfam family "Microsporidia small subunit ribosomal RNA", at positions 758 to 1207 of the family's 1311-position model. Lineage: Eukaryota; Metazoa; Arthropoda; Insecta; Plecoptera; Gripopterygidae. The record is from RNAcentral.